CCUGGCACAAUGAUGACUUAAAUUACUUUUUGCCGUUUACCCAGCUGAGGGUGUCUUUGAAGAGAUAAUUUUAAGACUGAGUUGCCAGU
This 89-nucleotide small nucleolar RNA is filed under the name Propithecus coquereli (Coquerel's sifaka). RNAcentral's name for it is "Small nucleolar RNA SNORD87 (ENSPCOG00000004783.1)". It matches the Rfam family "Small nucleolar RNA SNORD87". From Rfam's summary of the family: U87 (HBII-276) is a member of the C/D class of snoRNA which contain the C (UGAUGA) and D (CUGA) box motifs. Most of the members of the box C/D family function in directing site-specific 2'-O-methylation of substrate RNAs. The record is from Rfam by way of RNAcentral. Lineage: Eukaryota; Metazoa; Chordata; Mammalia; Primates; Indriidae.